AACUUCUGAAUGUUGACCUCGGGAUCAGGUAGAGCCGUCGAUUCCCC
Molecule: ribosomal RNA, 47 nt
Filed under: Fusarium verticillioides
Lineage: Eukaryota; Fungi; Ascomycota; Sordariomycetes; Hypocreales; Nectriaceae
Description: partial 28S ribosomal RNA
Source: RNAcentral